RNAcentral lists this unclassified non-coding RNA (400 nucleotides) under Hevea brasiliensis (rubber tree). The record is from RNAcentral. Lineage: Eukaryota; Viridiplantae; Streptophyta; Magnoliopsida; Malpighiales; Euphorbiaceae.
GUUUGAUCUCUUUGCCGCAAAGUGUUAAAUUCCUAACAACAUUAAAGAUUCUCAAUAUUGCCAAUUGUGAAAACCUUGAUUUGGCAAUAGAGGAAGUGGAAGAUAAUCAACACCUAAGUCCAUUCAGUCUCCAAAAGUUAGAGAUCAUUAACAUACCAAAGUUAUUGGGAUUCCCAACAUGGCUGAUUCGAGGAUCAAUCAACAGUUUAAAAGUCUUGAAAAUUACAGAUUGUGACAACCUUAGAGAAUUACCGGAACCUCUACAAAACAUUGCAACACUCGAAGAACUUUUGAUCUAUGGUUGUCCUAUGUUAAACAAUGAACGCCUACAGAAUAUAUCAGGUCCAAUUCAAGUAUGUCCAUGAGUUGAAUUUACAUGUGGGCUUUUUCAAGUCUCAUU